GCUGGCAGCUGGCUCUCUGCAACUCUCACAUGGUCGCCCACUGAAGCUAAGCAGGGCUGUGCCUGGUCAGUGCCUGGAUGGGAGACCACAUGGGAAAGCUAGGUUGCUGCCGGAA
RNAcentral lists this ribosomal RNA (115 nucleotides) under Danio rerio (zebrafish). Lineage: Eukaryota; Metazoa; Chordata; Actinopteri; Cypriniformes; Danionidae. The record is from RNAcentral.